GACGAACGCUGGCGGCGUGCUUAACACAUGCAAGUCGAACGGAAAGGCCCCCUUGUGGGGUACUCGAGUGGCGAACGGGUGAGUAACACGUGAGUAACCUACCCUUGACUUUGGGAUAACUUCAGGAAACGGGGGCUAAAACCGUAUAGGAGCUCCUGCUGCAUGGUGGGGGUUGGAAAGUUUCGGCGGUUGGGGAUGGACUCGCGGCUUAUCAGCUUGUUGGUGAGCUAGUGGCUCACCAAGGCGUUGACGGGUAGCCGGCCUGAGAGGGUGACCGGCCACAUUGCGCCUGCGGUACGGCCCAGUCGCCUACGGGCGGCAGUAGUCGGGAGUAUUGCACAACGGGCCGGAGCGUGAGACAGAAAUGCCGCGUGCGGAAUGCCCGCCUUCGGGUUGUAAACAGAUUUCGAAUGUGACGAAGAGUGAGUGACGGUAAUGGGUAAAGAAGCACCGGCUAACUACGUG
This 465-nucleotide ribosomal RNA is filed under the name uncultured bacterium. RNAcentral's name for it is "partial 16S ribosomal RNA". It matches the Rfam family "Bacterial small subunit ribosomal RNA", at positions 28 to 507 of the family's 1533-position model. The record is from RNAcentral.